This 501-nucleotide ribosomal RNA is filed under the name uncultured bacterium. RNAcentral's name for it is "partial 16S ribosomal RNA". It matches the Rfam family "Bacterial small subunit ribosomal RNA", at positions 30 to 523 of the family's 1533-position model. The record is from RNAcentral.
AUUGAACGCUGGCGGCAGGCUUAACACAUGCAAGUCGAGCGGGGGAAGGUAGCUUGCUACCGGACCUAGCGACGGACGGGUGAGUAAUGCUUAGGAAUCUGCCUAUUAGUGGGGGACAACAUCUCGAAAGGGAUGCUAAUACCGCAUACGUCCUCAGGGAGAAAGCAGGGGACCUUCGGACCUUGCGCUAAUAGAUGAGCCUAAGUAGGAUUAGCUAGUUGGUGGGGUAAAGGCCUACCAAGGCGACGAUCUGUAGCGGGUCUGAGAGGAUGAUCCGCCACACUGGGACUGAGACACGGCCCAGACUCCUACGUGAGGCAGCAGUGGGGAAUAUUGGACAAUGGGGGGAACCCUGAUCCAGCCAUGACGCGUGUGUGAAGAAGGCCUUAUGGUUGUAAAGCACUUUAAGCGAGGAGGAGGCUACUUUAGUUAAUACCUAGAGAUAGUGGACGUUACUCGCAGAAUAAGCACCGGCUAACUCUGUGCCAGCCGCCGCGGUAA